GCCCAGACUCCUACGGGAGGCAGCAGUGGGGGAUAUUGCACAAUGGGGGGAACCCUGAUGCAGCGACGCCGUGUGGGUGAAGAAGCGCCUCGGCGCGUAAAGCCCUUUCAGCAGGGAAGAAAAUGACGGUACCUGAAGAAGAAGCCCCGGCUAACUACGUGCCAGCAGCCGCGGUAAUACGUAGGGGGCAAGCGUUAUCCGGAUUUACUGGGUGUAAAGGGAGCGUAGACGGUGAAGCAAGUCUGAAGUGAAAGGCGGGGGCUCAACCCCCGGACUGCUUUGGAAACUGUUUGUCUGGAGUGCAGGAGAGGUAAGUGGAAUUCCUAGUGUAGCGGUGAAAUGCGUAGAUAUUAGGAGGAACACCAGUGGCGAAGGCGGCUUACUGGACUGUAACUGACGUUGAGGCUCGAAAGCGUGGGGAGCAAACAGGAUUAGAUACCCCGGUA
RNAcentral lists this ribosomal RNA (446 nucleotides) under uncultured bacterium. RNAcentral describes it as "partial 16S ribosomal RNA". It matches the Rfam family "Bacterial small subunit ribosomal RNA", at positions 329 to 792 of the family's 1533-position model. The record is from RNAcentral.